Long non-coding RNA from Ahaetulla prasina, 5756 nucleotides. RefSeq lists it as uncharacterized. The transcript is spliced from 4 exons. The record is from RefSeq and is a predicted model, not a curated record. Lineage: Eukaryota; Metazoa; Chordata; Lepidosauria; Squamata; Colubridae.
UCCCGGGUCAAUCACAAGGUAUUGUUAUACAUAAACCAAACAUAGAAUACAUAUUUUCAUGACGCUACAUAUUUUCAUAUUUGGUGGACUUGCAAGAAAAUUAAGGUCUUUUGGAUAAGAAUUUGGUGGAUUAUUCAAAAUGUACUGAAGAAGAUAAAGUUCCUGCCACAAUUUUUCCUUUUGGGAAUUAUAACGGAUUGUACAGGGAUUGAGACUAAAUUGAUUCUGAAUUUAAUAACAGCAGCAAGACUGUUGAUUGGACAAUACUGGAAGAAAGAAGAGAUACCUACAAUAGAAGAAUGGAUACUGAAAGUUAUUAAUUUGGCUGAGAUGGCUAAAAUCUCAGCUUUUUUAAAAGACAAUACGCAGGAAAGAUAUUUAAUUGAAUGGAAAAAAUGGAUUGAUUAUCUACAAAAUAGAUAUCAGAUUAAGAAAUAUCAGAUUGCCUUUGAAUAAUUAGAAAGUUAUUUUAUGUAAUGGGGAGGGGGUUGGGAGAUGAAAAGCUUUGGAUGUGGUUAUUUGGAUUGGAAGGGAAAAUUCUAUUCUAUGUUUGGUUUAUGUAUAACAAUACCUUGUGAAAGUGCUGGUCUUUCUUAGUACUCAUUUUCCAAACUCAUGCAUGACCUCUUUGAAAAGCCACUGCUACAAUAUUAACUAUUCCAAUAUUUGUUGUCAUUGGAGCACGUUAUUCUUCACAACUUUUCUAUCUCUUUGUUUUUAAGCGCAUCUUCCUUUUCACUUCUUCAGUUCACUGCCCAUUUUUAUCCAUUCUUGGGGUCCAAGAACCUGAAGCUACCAACCACCUUUGCUUCUUUGGCAUCAACUCUGAGUUAGGGGCCGGGGUGGCUCACGUGGUUAGAACGCUGGGUCACAAGACAUUAAGGCCGGCAGUUCGAAACCUGAGUGCGAGCCAUAUGAUGGAAUAGGUUCCCGCCAUUCACUCUAGUUCCUGCCCACCUAGCAGUUUGAAAGCAAAUGCAAGCAGAUAAAUAGGUACCACUUCUGGUUCCUCUCAGGAAUCACCGUUGCGGUGAUGUCACUGGUUAAUCCUAUCAACCCAGAAGUGCCAACACAAACUCUUGACUUCACAAAUCCCGAUUCUCAUUUUUUUUAAAAAAAAAAAAUCAAUAUGAAAUCUACCAAUUUUUCUGCAGUUUUUCUUUUUUCCCGUUUUAACUUCUGCAGGGGUAUCAUAUGCAGUGUUGAUCUAACAGUUCUGUAAGAAGUAAUCAUGCCCCCCCCCAACUAGAGAAUGAAAUAUUUUGGGGAAUAUUAAAAGAGGCGGAAUACUGUAUUACAUUUCCCCAAAGGAGAAAUGGAGAAACAUGCUCUUAAAGGCAGAAAGCAGCCCCAGUUUCCUGCAUAGCAACACAGCCCCCAGCAGAUGCCUGAAAUCUUUAGAAGUGGAGAUAUUACGCCCAUUAAGAAAUCCAUGCCAAUUUCUUCAUAAACAUAACAUCUUCAAUGCCAGGGUGAUGGGGUUAAAGUGGACAGGAUAUGACUUUUAGGACAUAAUCAAUUAACCCAACCCUAUUAGACUAGCAAAAGAUACCAGACUCACUACAAAUGCCCUGAAGCAUUUCAAACACAAACCCCCAGAAACCUAUAAUGAUCCAUCCACACAUUCAGCCAUUUUGUCAGCUGUCCCAGAACCACAUGCUGGUUGUACUCAUCAAUAAACGGACCUUCUUUCCUAAGCAGCUAGCCUCCAUUUUAUUUCCAGUGCCUUUCUCCCAGCUUGGAACUGAACCAGAUGGAUUUUUCUUCCAAUAGUUCUGAUUCCAGAUAUGCUUGCUUUCUUAGUUCCCAUACUAUAUUCAGCAAAUGCUGACAUCAACAUUAAUGAAUGUUCUUAGGAUUCUAAUAUUGUAUUCCGAGACUGAUAAUAGCUCAAUGAUAAUGAGGCCUCAGGGUGAAAUAUAACUAAACCCCAGAAAGAACAUUCUUUAUACUUGGACAUUUUUCACAAGCUACCCUCUCUCCUUCACAACCCAAGGACUGAGUCCUGGGACACCUUAGUCAAGAUAUUCUUGCCCUAGUAGUCUUUUCUAAACAGAUAUAGAGCAGUGAGAUGCUUUCCAGCCCUCCUCAUUCCAUAAGGAUAAACAUAUGUCAAGCAGAAUUCGCCACAGGAAGUUGGCGAACAUUACUCAUAAGGUUAGGAUAAAUAAAAAAAAACACAAAUCAAAUUCUCUACAACAAACAAACAAUGGAUGAACACUUAUCAAGGAGAGAAACAACCAAGAACUAAGAAGAAAUUUCCUGACAGUGGGAACAACUAAACAGUGGAACAACCUGCCUCCAGAAGUUGUGGGUGCUCCAUCACUGGAGGUUUUUAAGAAGAGAUUGGACAGACAUUUGUCUGAAAUGGUAUCAGGUCUCAUGCUUGAUCAGGGGGUUGGACUAGUGGAUCUCCAAGGUCCCUCCCAACUCUUGUUAUUCUGUAUUCUCGAACAUGAAUAUGUGUUGUCAAGUCAGUGUUGACUUUUAACGACUGUCUGGAAAGUACAGGUAGACCUCACUUUAUGACCACAACUGAGCCCAAAGUUUAUGUUGCUAAGUGAGAAAUUUAUUAAGUGAGAUUUGCCCUAUUUUAUGACUUUUUCUUGUCACUUUAUUAAGUGAACCACUGCCGUUGUUAAAAUAACAUGGUCGUUCAGCGAAUCUGGCUUCCCCGCUGACUUUGCUUGUGAGAAGGUCGCAAAAAGCGAUCACAUGACCCCAGACAUGGCAACUGUCAUAAAUGCGAGUCGGUGGCCAAGCAUCUGAAUUUUGAUCACGUGACCAUGGGGAAUAUUGCAGUAGUCAAGUGUGAAAAAUGGUCAUAAGUCAUGCUGUUGUUAACUUUCAAUGGUCACUAAGGGAACUGUUGUUAAGUUGAGGAUUACCUGUACAUAAAAAUCAAACUACUCUGUUUUUUUUCAAUCAUGAUUUUGGCAGCCCCCUGCCUUGCAGAUCAGAUAUUGCACAAGAAUUCCCUAUCUGGAGGCUGGGCUUUUUAAUGAUUUGGAGAGACUGAGCCCAGGUCAAGCUUGUACUAAUACCUCUGUAUAAAGCCUUAAUAAGACCACACCUAUAAUACUGCAUCCAGUUUUGGUCACCACUAUAAAAAGAUGGUGAUACUCUGGAAAUAGUGCAGAGAAGAGCAACCAGGAUGAUUAGGGGACUGGAGACUAAAACAUAUGAUGAACUGUUGCAGGAACUGGGCAUUGCUAGUCUAGUGAAGAGAAGGACCAGGGGAGACAUGAUAGCAGUGUUCCAAUAUCUCAGGGGCUGCCACAAAGAAGAGGGAGUCAAGCUUUUUCUCCAAAGCACCUGAGGGCAGGACAAGAAGCAAUGGAUGGAAACUGAACAAGGAGAGAUUUAACCUGGAAAAGGAAAAUUUCUGACAGUGAGAACAAUCAACCGAUGGAACAGCUUGCCUUGGGAAGUUGUGGGAGCUUCAUUACUGGAGGCUUUCAAAAAGAGAUUGGACUGCCAUUUAUCAGAAACGGUUUAAAGUCUCCUGCUUUGGUGGGGGUUGGACUAGAUGACCACAAGGUCCUUUCCAACUGUUAAAUCUGCUAUUUCAUAUAUUUGCAGGGGUAUAAGACCAGUUGCAAUGACAUCAGGAGCACGUGUGUCCUUUUUCACCAGCCACGGAAAGCCAAAAAAAAAAAUAUAAUAACCUAGGCACGUGUGAAACCCCUAUUCACGUUUGGCCCCUUGCAUUAAAAUAAACUACUCCAAAGUCCAUCUCCGGCCCUUCUUAAACAUCACACCCCACCGAUGCAGAGGGGACAUCGGGUGACAGCAACGUCACCUACCAAGGGGGAAAAAAAACCCCCAAGUUUUCUGCAAUCAUCAUUUUGUCCUCUUAUCCCAGAUCUGAGCUCAAGCAAGGCGCUGGAUUACCGAUCCCAUCAUCCCCCGCCGGAGGGCCAGGACAGCUUCUCCCCCAAACAGACCUUUAGAGGUGCCGCCUCGAUGGGAGUUGGAAUCCCCCACAUCGGGGCAGCCGACGCGGACGGAGCUUACCCGGCUUGUUUCCCCGCUUUCACCCAGACAGCCGGAGCAUUGCACGGACUUCGGGGAAAGAGCCGGCGGUCUGCCCGGUGAACGAGCCUCAAUUGCGAACAGGGUUUUUCGAGAAGCCCGGCGCUCGCCUUCCCCUAAAUUGCCUGAACGCCCGUCCCGACGCCUCGCCUGCCCGCCAAGCCCCAGACACGCUCCGCCGAGCCGAUGCCGACGGAUGCAGCUCGCCUGCCGCUCUCCGCUGCUCCGCGCCGCCGAGCUCACCGGACGCCCACGCAAAGCCUGCUGGGUUUUGCGCGCCUGGACCCGAAUUUCCUCCCUUCUUCCUCUCAUUGGCUGAACGCGCCAACCUCGCUCAGUGGCUCUCCCGAGUUCGGAGGGCGGGGCGAGGGGCGGAGCCUGUCGCCUGCGAUUCUUUAGUCUGCGCAGUGAGGCUGUCCCGUGAAUGCAAAAUAAGGUUUUGGAGUUGUUUUUAAAUUGUUGUUGUGUUUGGGGGAAAUUAAGAGAAUUAAAAAGAAAAAAAGGAGGAGGGUAAACGUAAAGGAUAAACAUUGGAAGAAUUCAGGGGUGUCAAAAUGGCGGCCCAGGGCCAAGAUGCGUCACGCACAGGCCACGCCCACCCCAGCUCCGCAAAGGGAAAAAAAGUCACAAUACGUCACGUGAGGGCAACGUGACACGGCAAGUUUGACACCCAUGUCCUUGGGGUUUCUUCAGAGACAUAUUCAGAAUAUAGAUUCCAUCUCCCUUGUCUGCAUUCUGGUUUGACAGCCAAAAUAGUUCAUUUCACAAGCAAAGCUUUCAGCUUAAGGUGCUUCUCACCCAGCAUGCCCGAAAUAGCUGGACUUCACCUCUUUACCACAUACCUUGCCCUACUUCCUGGCUUUACCAUUAAACUUGAUGAACUUCAUUAAAUUUCUACAAAAGAUACAAUAUCAAAAAGCAAGAAAAAAGAACAAUUUAAAAAAUAGGGGAAAGGAGGAUGCAAAGGAAUAAAGAAAGAAGCAAAACAGAAAAACUUCCAAUUUUCUUCAGUGCAGUCACAAAUACAAAAUACGUUAAGCUUUUGGUCUAAAAUUCCAUAUAGGGCAGUAUUUCCUAUAAUCAUAAUUCUACUGGCCACAGUCUGAUCGCCUUUUUCUCCUUCCGUGUUUCCACGGUCUGUUUGAAAGAGCAUUCCCAGUGAAUAAUGGCCCUUGAUUUUCCAUCCAUCACAAUUCAUCAUUAAGGCCAUGCUAUAAAACAGGGCGUUCCAACCUUGGCAACUUUAAGCCUGGAGGACUUCAACUUCCCAGCAAAGCUGGCUGGGGAAUUCUGGGAGUUGAAAUCCACCAGGCUUAAAGUUGCCAAGGUUGGGGACCCCUGCUAUAUAACAAGAGAAUAUAUGGCUUUCAACAGCUGGGAUAUUUUUUCCUACCCUCUGUGAUUAUACUGUUUUCCCAGAAAAAGCAAGAAUAACCCAGUGCCCUUCUUUUUCCUAUCCGGGUGAAGCCACUGAUAUCAUUUCCCUUUCUGAACAACAAAAUGGGACCCAACAGCAUUUUUCUGCUGGAGUUCCUUUCCUAGAAAUGCAUGAAAAGAGGCUUUCGCCUCUUUCCUUCCCAUAUCCUUGCAUGCAGGGGUGGGCUUCAGAUCCUUUAGCAAUGAGUUCACUAUCCUGUUGCUGAGUGGGCGUGGCCAUGGUGGGCGUGGCCUACUCAGCCAUCUAUACUACAGGAGGGGGGCGUUUUUCACCCUCCUCAGGC